RNAcentral lists this ribosomal RNA (459 nucleotides) under Odontotermes latericius. RNAcentral's name for it is "partial 16S ribosomal RNA". It matches the Rfam family "Bacterial large subunit ribosomal RNA", at positions 1832 to 2597 of the family's 2925-position model. The record is from RNAcentral. Lineage: Eukaryota; Metazoa; Arthropoda; Insecta; Blattodea; Termitidae.
UUUUCUUGUUAGUUUCUGAAGUAUGGCCUGCCCGCUGAUUGAAGGGCCGCGGUAUUUUGRCCGUGCAAAGGUAGCAUAGUCAUUAGUUCUUUAAUUGUGAUCUGGUAUGAAUGGUUUGACGAGACGUUUACUGUCUUUUUGAAUUUAGAUUUUGAGUUAAAAUUCUUAAAUGUUUUUAUGGGACGAGAAGACCCUAUAGAGUUUUACAUUUUUUGAGUUUUUGCGUUUGUUUUGUUGGGGUGAUGGGAGGAAUUUUUUAACUCCUCUUUGUUGAUAUAUUGAUUUGUAUUUAUUUGAUCCAUUUAUUUUGAUUAUAAGAUUAAAUUACCUUAGGGAUAACAGCGUUAUCUUCCCUGAGAGUUCUUAUUGGCGGGAGGGUUUGCGACCUCGAUGUUGGAUUAAGGUUAAUUUUUGGUGUAGGAGCUGAAUUGAUUAGGUCUGUUCGACCUUUAAAAUCUU